GCCAGGCAUGGUACUACAUGCCUGUAGUCCCAGCUACCUGGGAGACUAAAGCAGGAAAAUUGCUUGAGUCCAGGAGUUUGAGGCCACAGUGAACUAUGAACAUGCCACUGCACUCUAGCCUGGGCAACAGGCAAUAGAGUGAGACCCCAUCUCAAAAAAAAAAAAAAAAAAAGUUCACCAUCAAUAUGUUGACCUCCCAGGAGCAGGAGACCACUAGGUUGCCUAAGGAGAGGUGAAUCGGCCCAAGUCAGAAAAAGAGCAGGCCAAAAAUCCCAUGCUGAUGUGUAGUGGGCUAACACUUGUGAAGCCACUGUGCUCCACCCUGGGCAAUAUAACAAGACCUCAUUUCU
RNAcentral lists this signal recognition particle RNA (350 nucleotides) under Macaca nemestrina (pig-tailed macaque). RNAcentral describes it as "Metazoan signal recognition particle RNA (ENSMNEG00000003979.1)". It matches the Rfam family "Metazoan signal recognition particle RNA". From Rfam's summary of the family: The signal recognition particle (SRP) is a universally conserved ribonucleoprotein. Lineage: Eukaryota; Metazoa; Chordata; Mammalia; Primates; Cercopithecidae. The record is from RNAcentral.